CGCACGGGUGCGUAAAUCGCGUAUGCAACCUACCUUAAUCAGGGGGCAUAGCCCGAAGAAAUUCGGGAGUGUAACACCGCAUAAAAUCACAGUAUAGCAUUAUACAAUGAUCAAAUAUUUAUAGGCAUUAAGCAUGGGCAUGCGUGACAUUAGUUAGUUGGCGGGGUAACGGCCCACCAAGACCACGAUGUCUAGGGGAUCUGAGAGGAUGACCCCCCACACUGGUACUGAGACACGGACCAGACUCCUACGGGAGGCAGCAGUAAGGAAUAUUGGUCAAUGGAGGCAACUCUGAACCAGCCAUGCCGCGUGCAGGAAGACAGCCCUCUGGGUCGUAAACUGCUUUUAUUCGGGAAUAAACCUAUCUACGUGUAGAUAGCUGAAUGUACCGAAGGAAUAAGGAUCGGCUAACUCUGUGCCAGCAGCCGCGG
RNAcentral lists this ribosomal RNA (431 nucleotides) under uncultured bacterium. RNAcentral describes it as "bacterial SSU rRNA". It matches the Rfam family "Bacterial small subunit ribosomal RNA", at positions 99 to 520 of the family's 1533-position model. The record is from RNAcentral.